GCCCAGAGCUCGCCAUUGGGCCUCGCUCCCGGGGUCCCGCGCGCCGGCCGUGCUGAUUGGCCGCUGGGGCUUCAUUCACGGCCCCCCUGCCGUCCGCGUACACACUCACGCCCCGGGGGCGCGGCCGCCACGUGGGGAGUGGCGCGGGGGUGGCACUGGGACCGCACCCCCUCUCGUCCUGGCUGCGUGGGCCCAGCUUUCCCCCCUCGCUGGAGACUCCGAGCCCGGCGGGUCCCACACUCCACGCGAGCUGAAUUCCCGCCCGUCUUUGGCAGGGGCGGCCGGAGGCGGCGGCGAGGAUGGCGGGCUCCGGGAGGCGCUCGGGCUCCGAGAAGCCGCUCAGCCCCGCGCUCCUCCCUCCGCAGUGCCGCUGCAGGCGGGCCGGGAUUCCGCGGGUCUCGGGAGGCUGCGAGCGAGCGGCGGCGCGGGUCCCCAGCUCGGUUCCAGAGCGGCUGCUCGCCUGGGCCGCCUCGCCUCCCGCAGCUUCCAGCGGGCACGGAGCUCUCCUCCGCGCGCCUCUCCGGCCCGUCUCGUUUUCCCCCUCCUUCCGCUAGACCCAGUGCCGCAACUCCGCCGACCUCCGCGGCCCUGAGAGCGCGUCGGCCGCGGGCAGAGUCAGACCCGCUUCACGCCUCGCGCAGGCUCCCCUUCUCCCGGGCACCGCGGCGCAGGUGCACCUGAGCCCACCCCUGGGAGCUUCUGAUUCUGGCGGCCUCUCUUUGUGGCACAGCUGUGUCCUCCCCUGGUCCACAUCCUGGAGAGGGGGUUGCACUCAAGAGAAACAAGAAGAGAGAGAAGGCUUCUGCUCAUCCCUUCUGUGGAAGUCCCGGUGACCAUGGGGUGAGGAUCCCAACUCCCAUGUCAAGAUGGGCUGCGGUGGAGACGGGAGACCCGAGCUUUGGCACUCGACGGUGAGGAAAACCGAGACGCAGAAAAGCGAAGUGACUUGCCCAAAGUUGCACAGACAAGUGGUACUGCUUAUAUUUGAACUCGGGGAGUCUGAUUCCAGACCUUACAGUGCCCAAGGGCCGGUGCCUCAAGGGCCUGGAACCUGAUGACACUGAAUCUUCUCAGGAGAUGCUACGAGCUGGGGACCACAGAGCAACAGAUGAGGGACAAUCAUGGUGUCAUUGAGCGUUUGAAAAACUUGUGCUGGCUAUAAGACAUUGGUUAAGAGCGCCCUGGUGACAUACGGACCACGUCUAUCAUGGGGCUGUAGCCGUGGGCCCUCUAGGACCCAUUCGACUGACCUCAUCUCUUAUCAACAGAGUGAUUAAGAAUUGUCUUUCAGAAAAACUGCAAAGUCACGUAGCCAGGGCAUGUGCAAAAGAAGAAAUCGUGGUCUGAAAUGACAUCCAGACCAAAGAUUGUCCUUCCCACAGAACCCAAGGACUGGACACGACCGGAACUUGAAAGUUGGACUCUUAGCCCUCCUUCAGGAAGAGCCGGUGUUUAAAUUCCUUCCCCAUCCUGUCAUAAACGUUGAAAACCUUACCCUAAAUGCUUGAAGCCCACUGAUCAAAACCUGUCCCACCAGCGUUUCCGUGUGCCAGCCGGUUCUCCCUAACCUCUUAAAUUUCACCCCAAAUCCUGAAUCUGGGAGACAGAUCUGAGGGCGCGAGCUCCCUGCCUUCCUGCAGACUGAUCUCGCAGAAUAAAAGCUGAUUUCUCCCCCGAAGGCUGAUGCAUAAUUAAUUAGCUUGUUUAUGUGCAUCAGGCAGAGAACCCCAAUUCUGUGAGGUAACAGGGCCACCCUGUUUACCCAACACAAGUUCUGGUGACUGAGCAGGU
This 1791-nucleotide long non-coding RNA is filed under the name Equus caballus (horse). RNAcentral's name for it is "lncRNA (ENSECAG00000033909.3)". The record is from RNAcentral. Lineage: Eukaryota; Metazoa; Chordata; Mammalia; Perissodactyla; Equidae.